UUACAUUUUCUGCAUAGCCUACCAAAAUA
Molecule: small RNA, 29 nt
Filed under: Bombyx mori (domestic silkworm)
Lineage: Eukaryota; Metazoa; Arthropoda; Insecta; Lepidoptera; Bombycidae
Description: ovarian small RNA-9326
Source: RNAcentral